UUACGGCCACAUCAUGUUGAAACACUUGUUCCCGUACGUACAAUGACCGAAGUUAAGCAACGUCGAGCCGAGUGAGUACCUAGAUGGGUGACCGCUUCGAAAUAACAGUUGUUGCAAA
This is a non-coding RNA of Acanthosepion pharaonis, 118 nucleotides long. The record is from the annotation of a GenBank genome assembly. NCBI's taxonomy places the organism in Eukaryota, Metazoa, Mollusca, Cephalopoda, Sepiida, Sepiidae.